Molecule: unclassified non-coding RNA, 211 nt
Filed under: plant metagenome
Description: partial contains small subunit ribosomal RNA, internal transcribed spacer 1, and 5.8S ribosomal RNA
Source: RNAcentral
UUUCCGUAGGUGAACCUGCGGAAGGAUCAUUCAUAAUAAAGUGUUUUAUGGCACUUUUUAAAAAUCCAUAUCCACCUUGUGUGCAAUGUUAGAUCUCGUCAAUCUUGGCGAGAUUUUUAUACAUCAACUCAUUCUUUAACUAAUUUGUCUGAAGAAUACUAUGAAUACUUAAUUCAAAAUACAACUUUCAACAACGGAUCUCUUGGCUCUC